Long non-coding RNA from Ailuropoda melanoleuca (giant panda), 1094 nucleotides. RefSeq lists it as uncharacterized. The transcript is spliced from 2 exons. NCBI's taxonomy places the organism in Eukaryota, Metazoa, Chordata, Mammalia, Carnivora, Ursidae. The record is from RefSeq and is a predicted model, not a curated record.
UAAUAAAAAAAUAUUUAAAAAAAAAAGUAAAUACACUGUAUGGAGAAUCUAGAAACACAUAGGUUUAAUUGUCACAUGACAGUGUUGACAUUGCAGAUCGCAGUACCACUCUCUAAAAUCCAGGAGUUCCAUAAGUUUCUUGACGAGGCUUUUCCCCUCCGAACAAAAACCUGACUUUUGAGGUAAGUUAAAUUUGGGGGGCUUGAGAGGGAAAGAUUUUUAGAAAUCCCUAUUUACCAGCUUGGAUGCACAACUAAACCAAAAAAAAACUACACAGCUUUUACUCAGUAAUAACGUUGAUGUUCUGGAAGCCAUUUGUUUUACUCAUAUGUUUUGUUCUUUAUUGACAGUAAAUCUAGGAAGGAAGAUGAUGUCACAUUUGUGAACUCCUCUAUAACUCCAGAAAUGAAUCUAGGAGACAUUUCCAUGGCAACUCCCAUAAGUACGAGCUUCCACAAAACAUCCUUGCCUGGGAACACCGAGUGUUAGUUAAGUGAUUUAGAUUCAUUAUCAACAAACCAUUACAAUUUCUUACUAUAUAUCAGGAAAUGUUUUAACUGUUAUAAAAAUGUUAGCUUCUUUAAUCUUCAAAACAAUGUUUUGUAUUAGGUAUUAGCCUGCUCUUUCUAGAGGAGGAAAUGGAGACACAAUUUCUUUCCAAACUCAUAUGUCCAUUAAGUAGGGAAAAUGGGAUUCAAAUCCACAUAGUCUGUCUCAAAGUCCACCCACUUAACCAAUUUUCAGCAUCUCACAUUUCUUUCCUUAGAUCUCUUUUUACCAAUAAAUUAAACCCUUUCUUAUUUUACUAUUAAUAAGAACCAGGAAGCAGAGAGCAUUUGUAUUCAAAACAACUGGUCUUUGUGUUACUAUAUUAUCUCUCCCAUCACAGUUCUAAUGAGUACUCUACUCCAUGAAAUGAUGGACACUAGCUGGACUUCAUUUUUUCCUGAUAGUAUUUAAGGUAGCAUUGUGUUUAGCAUGGGGAUGAAAGGGAGAGGUAGGUAAGUUUUGGAGACAUUGACCAGAUAACAGCAAGGUAAACAACAUGGUAAUGGAAAAAAAAAAAAACCAGAAUGACUUGCCAAUUCCUUACA